GCUACAUGAAAAGCAGUUUUUUCUGGAAGAAGGAUUUCCACAUUCAUUUUUUUAAGUUAGCAUUGAAAAGAGCAAGAAGAAAAUGCUGUUGAAGUACCAGGGAAAAUUUGGAACACAUCUGAUAGAAACUCUUGAUGACUUAUCUCAAGAUGAUCUAGAUUUUUCAGAACGUGAUGUUAUGAUUGUGAAUUAAAGAAAACUAAUUCAAAGAAGAGUUGUUAGAUGUUACAUCAGAUGUAGAAGGAAGAGGAAGAUGAGGAAGUAAGAAAAUAUAUUUGGGGAGAAGCAGGAGUGAGGAGAUUAGAAAAUAAGCUAAUAGACAUAGAAGAAAAGGAGAAAAAAAAAGUUGAAGAGGAUAAAAUUGAGCAAGCACUGGAUAGAUGAGAUAUUAAUAUAAUAAGUAAGGAAGAGAGUUAGAUGAUUGGAUGAAUAAGGUAGUAAAGCAAAAGAGAUCAAAUUAAAGCAGAUUAUCAAAUAAAUGGGAAUAAGAAAAAAAGCAAAGAAUAUAAAAGAGAGGAAAUGAAAUGUGAGAAGAUAUGCAAGGAGAAAAAAACAGGAAUGGGAAAAGAAAAAAGAGCAAAGGAUUUAAAAGGUGAAGAUAGAACAGGAUCUAUAGCAAUUAAUAAAUAAGGAUAGAAAUUAAUAAAAAAUAAGAGGAAAUUAACUAGAAAAUAAUAAUGCUUUAAACUACUGAUUUGUUUGCAAUGUGAUAUUAUUGGAUUUUUUUAAUUUCUUAAAUUUGUAUUUUGAAUUUAAGCAGUGUACAUUGGUGUGGUGGUUUUUAAUACAAGUUAAAGAAAUAUAUUAAAAUAUUUAUUAAUUUUAUUCCUAAUACAAAAUACUCAAAGCAUAGGAACUUUGACUUUUGAUGCUGUAUCUUUAAUAUCUGGAGAGAACCUUGAAGAUAUUUGAUAUUAAGGGUUAAAUAAUGCAUCACGUAUUAAAUUUAUUUUUCCUUGUUUUUUAACACUUAUUUUGAGUCAGUUACAUCUUAUUUUAUUGUCUGAUACAUUACCCGUGUAAUAUAUUUUUUUCAAACAUUUUUCUUCAGUAUUGAUUGUUUCAUUAUUGUUCAGAAUUGACCUGAACUGUUUUUAUAAUAUGCAGUAAAAGAAGAAGGAAAAUUACCCAUUUCAUAACAUUCCAUUUUUGCAUAAAAUGAGAAUUACUAAAUAGCGGCCCUCCAGUGGCAUGCGGUAUGUCUGUGGACUUACAGCCCUAGAAACCGGGUUUUGAUAACCCGUGGUGGACAGAGCACAGAUAGCCCAUUAUGUAGCUUUGUGCUUAACUUUAAACAAACAAACAAAAUACUAAAUAGUGACUUACAAAAAGUUUGUGUUUUAAAUUAAUCACAAUGUUAAUGUGAAAUACAAGUGAAACAAAUGUGUGGAAUUUGAGUGCAUUAUAAUACAUUCUUUUACUUAAGCAUGAGAUAAUACACUUGAUGAUAAUUUCAUGUAACUUUUGAGGCUGACUUAGUUCUCAGCUUCUGUUUCUCUAGACUUUGGUUGUUAGGUAAGCUAGAGUAUAGAGUAUACAUGUAAUGACUGUUUGAGAUAGAUUCAUAUGAAGUUGAUUCAUAGCAAUUUGUAUUCAUAAGACUCGUGGUAAUUUUGAUUUAUAAUCCAAUUUAAAUAAACUUUAAUUCCAUCCAUUUUUUUUCUCUGAAGAUUUAUUUGAAAAACUAAUUAAAUCCCACAGAUUGUUAGUUUCACUAAAACGCAAGUGUACAUGUGCUCCUAUUAAAACAAUAUGUAACUGAACAGAAAUUUAUGAUUUUCAGUUACUUGUAGAUUAAUAAGGUAUUUAAUGCUUGUUUGUUUUUGUUCUUUGUAUAGUGUAAUACAAAAACAAGUCUCUUGAAUAUGUAUUUCUGAUUACAUAUGAAGAAAGCUGUAGUGGUAAGUGUUAAUUUCAACAUGGCACUGUGUGUUCAGCUACAGAGAACUCUGAAAAGGAUUAAAGUUUAACUUCAAUUCCUGUUUAAAGUUUCAUAAUUUAAGACAUUUUCAUUAUUGACAAACAUUCAACUAAACCUUCCAGACUUAAGUGAGGAACAGUGACUGAUGAAUUUAAGUUCAAAAUGGCAACAGCAUCCAUGUGAUCUGAAUCUUUGUAUACCAUUCAUUAACUUAUUUGUGAUACACAAAAGUAAUUUAGAAAUGCUUAAUGUCCAGAUAUGAAAAGUUAAUGUUCAUUAUAAUUAAUAAUUCAGCAUAUGAAAUAUGCAUAGCACAUAGUCUGAUUCAUUUAAUUUUUUAUACAAGAUUGACUGAUAACUCCACAAGUUAGGCAUCAAAAGUAAAGCCACUAUCAUAUGAUACCAUAUAAAUUAUAAUCUUGUUAGAAUUAACUUGAAUUUCAAGAUUGACUGAUAACUCCACAAGUAAGGCAUCAAAAGUAAAGCCACUAUCAUAUGAUACCGUAUAAAUUAUAAUCUUGUUAGAAUUAACUUGAAUUUCACGUCCAAGAUAAAAGUCCACUCAGUUUUUUAUUGUACUGGUUUUUGGAAGAAUACUAUGAAUGAUUAUACUUUCAUAAUCCCUCAAGUGUUUUGGCCUGAACAUAUAGUUAUUUAAAAAUUGUAUUUGUUAAUACAAAUGUUAGUUCAAGAAUUUAGUAGUAUUUCUCACAAAUAAUACAACUAAAAUUCUAAUAUAUAGUUGUAUUGAGUUAAAAUUAUUAUUAUAAUAUUAUCAGUCACCUUUUACCUCUAAAGAAAACAACUGUAAACAAUGAGAGAGAGUUAAGGAAAAAGGUAUUAGAAAUAUCCAUAUUUGAAGUAAGGAGAUAAAUUAUUGAAAAAAUUAAUAUUUUGAGAAAUUGCUUAUCAAAUGAGUUCUUGCUUGUUGUGGUAUUAUACCCUCUCAUGUUCACUACAGUUGUUCUGGCUGUGUUCUGAUAUUACUCAGUUUUCCUUAUAAAAAAUGUCCUUUAUAUGUGUUCUUAUACUAUUCACUUUACUCAGAAACUUCCUUUUAAUUUUUUUUUUACACCCGAAAACUUUCUCUUACAACUGUUCAAACUAUUUAUUUAUUGUAUUGUAAAAAUUCACUCUUGAAUAUGUAAUGACCAUUAAUUUUUCCUGAGCAUGUUCUGUUAUCUUGAUUUUACCAACAUUCAAUCUUGUGUUUUCGGCUCUCAGUGUAGCCUGGUAUAGAAAUAAUUUAUAAAUUAUAAUACCCUUUUUUUUGUCACACUAUUUCUUAAACUGUGAAAUGAAUGUUUUUCUCCUUCCAAAUUAUACAUCAUAAACGGAUAUCCUUAUUUCUAUUAUAGAUAUUUGGUUGUAAGAAAUUUUGAAUUGUUUAUUUUUUUUAUAAAUGAUUACGGAUGCCUUUUAAUUUUGAACAUGGCUACCUUUUUAACUGUGAUUAUUGAUUUCCUGGCUUAUAUUUCGAGAUGCUGGUUUUUUCAUUAUAACCUGUCAUUCCAGCAGUAGUUGGGUAAUCUUGUACACACGCAUACACUUAAUAAAGCUACUUUUUUCACAGUUAAUUUAACUGUGUAUGUGUAUAUGUAUACGCACACUAUAUAAUACACACACACAUAACAUGUAAAAUCUACGUUGUCACUAGCUAACCACAUGACAAUGUUAUUUGUAAGAAAAAUUAUACUCAUUCAAUUUAGGAAUGUUGUAUGCAUAUGUUAAUUUGAAAGUUUUAGUUAUAAAGAUCAAAAUGAUAAAAACUUUCGAUUCAUAUGUCAUUCUUAUUCUUUGUCGAUCUGUUGAUUUUGGACUUUUUUUCAUUAGGGAAUACAGGGAGUAAUUUGUAACA
This is a long non-coding RNA of Limulus polyphemus (Atlantic horseshoe crab), 3779 nucleotides long. RefSeq lists it as uncharacterized. The record is from RefSeq and is a predicted model, not a curated record. The transcript has 3 exons. Lineage: Eukaryota; Metazoa; Arthropoda; Merostomata; Xiphosura; Limulidae.